GGUCCUUUGGCGCAAUGGCUAGCGCAUUGCUUUCCGGAUUAGGAAACUGGCAAAGGUUCUAGGUUCGAGUCCUAGGAGGAUCG
Mariannaea sp. PMI_226 is the source of this 83-nucleotide non-coding RNA. Lineage: Eukaryota; Fungi; Ascomycota; Sordariomycetes; Hypocreales; Nectriaceae. The record is from the annotation of a GenBank genome assembly.